UGUCCAGGGAUGGGAAUCGAACCCACAGUGUUCCGCUACCUCUCUCUUCUCUCCCUCUCUCUUUGAGAUGUAAUAUUGUCUAGAAGACAAUAAAUAAUUUUUAAUUGUCAAUUGUCACAAUGUUCCGCUUACCGGGCAGAUGUCAUGUCUACUAGGCUACCUUGGAC
Non-coding RNA from Cordylochernes scorpioides, 167 nucleotides. The record is from the annotation of a GenBank genome assembly. Lineage: Eukaryota; Metazoa; Arthropoda; Arachnida; Pseudoscorpiones; Chernetidae.